RNAcentral lists this ribosomal RNA (468 nucleotides) under uncultured bacterium. Its description in RNAcentral is "partial 16S ribosomal RNA". It matches the Rfam family "Bacterial small subunit ribosomal RNA", at positions 28 to 507 of the family's 1533-position model. The record is from RNAcentral.
GACGAACGCUGGCGGCGUGCUUAACACAUGCAAGUCGAACGGAAAGGCCCUGCUUUUGUGGGGUGCUCGAGUGGCGAACGGGUGAGUAACACGUGAGUAACCUGCCCUUGACUUUGGGAUAACUUCAGGAAACUGCGGCUAAUACCGGAUAGGAGCUCCUGCUGCAUGGUGGGGGUUGGAAAGUUUCGGCGGUUGGGGAUGGACUCGCGGCUUAUCAGCUUGUUGGUGGGGUAGUGGCUUACCAAGGCUUUGACGGGUAGCCGGCCUGAGAGGGUGACCGGCCACAUUGGGACUGAGAUACGGCCCAGACUCCUACGGGAGGCAGCAGUGGGGAAUAUUGCACAAUGGGCGGAAGCCUGGUGCAGCAACGCCGCGUGCGGGAUGACGGCCUUCGGGUUGUAAACCGCUUUCGCCUGUGACGAAGCGUGAGUGACGGUAAUGGGUAAAGAAGCACCGGCUAACUACGUG